UAAACUCCCUCUCCCUUUCCCUCCCUCUCUCUCUCUCUCUCUCUCUCCCUCGUUUCUCCCAUUUGCCCUCUCCUCAUGUCGAAUAACCAAAUUGUGGAGCUCAGAUUCUUUAGCUCUGAGCAAAAAAAAUUCACUUACCACGAAUGGCCGUCGAUCUAUCUCUGUUAGGUUUUCCAGUCCUUCAAUUCCAGUCAAAAUUUAGUUGUGUGUGGGUGUAAAUUCCAUUUAGGGAUUUGAGGAGGAGUUGUUGGAGAAGGAGGUGACGAAGGCGGCGGAGUCGCUGUCGUCUCGCACACUUAACCCACGAACCCAACACACCCAUUUAUCCAGAACGCACUCAACUCCUCCGUCGUCCAUUCUAAGACCGGUGUGUCGUUUCUGUCAGUCUUGGCUGGGACUCGGCGAUUUCUGGGAUUUGGGUUGAUUCCUCUCUUAUGGCAGUCCCUCAUUCUUAAGGUUUUGUUUGCCCAGUGCUUUGUCCUUGAGGGCAUGAUAUCUGAUCCAGCAAAACAAGGAAAUACAGUCCUGAUUCCUGAACCAUGUCCUUCCAGCUUCACAAUUGGCAAAUGGUAAUGGGAUCCAGCAAAACAAGGAAACACACUCCUGAACACUGCUGUUUAUGCAUAUGGGUCUCUCCGUUGGACUACUAAGACAAGCUACAUAUACCAUAGCUCAUCUUGGAUCAUUCAGGUUGAUGUUUUCACCAACUCUUCCGGAGCAUGUGCUGCUUUUAUUUCUAAUAUGGACGACAAUAAUGACAAAAGAGUAGUAUUUCGUUAUGUGUCAUAUCAUCUACCAGCAUGGUCAGUUAGCAUACUGGCUGACUACAAGACUGCAGUAUUUAACAUAGCAAAGUUGAGAUGGCAUCUGAAACUAAAGGCAUGAAAGGUCUUAAGUGGGAGGUAUUUGUGGAGAAAGCUGGGAUCUGGGGUGAAGCUGACUUUGGAUUUGUAGAUCACAUCAAUACCACAAAAGUUACCACUACCUGUGGUAUACAACUAAGCAUAUUUGUUGAUGAAAAUGAAGAGUUCUUAAAGAAAGGAAGCUCACCAGUACUUCUAAUUGAAUCAAAAGGCCAUGCUCUCCAUGCUUUUGUCAAUGAUGAACUUCAAGAAAAUGUGGUUUCUAUAUUGAGCAGAGGAAGAUGAAAUCGGAUCGGAAAGAGGUAAGUAACCUAAACGCUGAUACCAUGUAGAAAAUGUGGUUUCUAUAUUGAUUCAAUCGAAUUACAGUGUGCAAUUAUAUAGCUAAGGUAAUUUGAUUGUUAUGCUACUGUUACAAUAAGUUAUAAACAGUAUUCAAUGGUAUAAAUAUAAAGAAUCAAAACUGAUGUUCAGCUUUGAUUUCAUGGAUCUUCAGUUACACAAAUCUCUCUAACAUUUUGAGACAUGCGUUUCCAGCUAGCAUGUAUAUACAUAUUAUAGCUGGCUCUUUAGCAGUCAAUUCUUUAUCUUUUUUGCCCUAAUGCUACAUUUUUAAUGACUUGGUGCUCGUUUCUUUGUACUCUUAAAAUGCUGGAUGAUGAACUUCAAGGUUAUUUUCUUAUUUAAAAGAGUUAUGGUUUAGUAUUUCAUUUCUUGGUUAUGUUCGGUUGAGUAUUCAUAUGGCAAAUUUAUGCAGAUUUACUUCUGUGUAAAUUUUCUUCUUCAACACUGCUAGAUAUAAGCUUAUGUCCCCAAGUUAACUUGUGGCUAUUUUUGAGACAUGCGUUUCCUGGCAUGUAUAUACAUAUUAUAGCUGGAUCUUUAGCAGUCAAUUCUUUAUCUUUUUUGCCCUAAUGCUACAUUUUCAAUGACUUAAUGCUCGUUUCUUUGUACUCUUAGAAUGCUGGUUCAUUUUAUUUGUGGGUAGGGGCAGGAUUAACUAGUACAGUUGAUUUGUCUGCACAUAAUUGUACCUACAAGUGAACUUUAACUCGAAACUUUCAUUUUGAAUGCUGGAGCUGCCUCUAAUGAACCCUGAGCUCUUCCUUACAGUGGGCAUCAAACCACCCAAGGCAUGUUUUAUAUAGUAUUGCUGACUUCAUACUAUUAGUGACAUAUUAUUAAUUCUGAUUUGAAAUGUUUCAAACCACUCAGGGCAUCAAACCACCCUGGGCGUGUUUCAUACUAUUGCUGAUUUGAAAUUUAACAUUAUAACCUAUUGUUAUUGAUUUUGCUUUCUCAAUUCUUUAUGUAUAGGUGUAACUACCAUUUACUUCUAUGUUCCCAAUUCUUAGAAAGGAAUAACUUGAGGAUUCUUGUGGUCUUUGAUAAUAUUAUACGGCUAUUAGGUACAUAACACAUUCUAGCAGUUAUCUAAUUGUAUGUUUUCUGGGUUGUUUAUUUAGGAUAUUAUUUGGCAAGGAGAUAUAAGUGGAGUUAAUGCAGUGCUGCAGUUAUUCAUGGUUGAUAUCCAAUCAGAAGAUUAGUAUUCAUUAAUUUAUUUUUUCUAGUUCAUUUUGUAGUCACUUCAGAGAAGAUUAUAGAGUAUUCAUUAAGUUAUUUUUUUUCUAGUUCAUUUUGUAGUCACUGCGGACUUAUUUUGUAUGUAUAUUAAUGUAUUUUAGUGAGUAAUA
This is a long non-coding RNA of Rosa chinensis, 2557 nucleotides long. RefSeq lists it as uncharacterized. The transcript is spliced from 9 exons. The record is from RefSeq and is a predicted model, not a curated record. NCBI's taxonomy places the organism in Eukaryota, Viridiplantae, Streptophyta, Magnoliopsida, Rosales, Rosaceae.